UCCCUAGGUAGCAAACUGCAACUUAACUUCAUAUGAAAACAAUCUACAACUGUAACAUAUUCUGUAACAAAUAACUGAGAUGCAGUUAAUCAUAGCAGCUGGGUUUUAACCAGUCAUGGGAUAACAACUGAUCAGACCAUGUAUCUGUAUAAGGCAAGUGCUUCAUCACACCGUGCCUGAAUCAGGAAUAUAGAGAUAAGAUAAGGAGAAGCUUUUCACGGGUCAUAAGCUCUUGGAAUGCAGAAAUGUUUGCAAGGCAGAAAGACAAUUAUUAUAUGUAUCCAAGGAGUCAACACACAUUAAAAUAUGUGUUCUGAAUUACUAUAUUAUGAGGCUCCUCAGGCAAAAAGCAAUGGAGAAUGCCUUCCUAUUUUCCUCAUUUUAUCUUUUCUUUCCUAAUGAGCUUACAGUUUCUUAAUGCUGUAUACCAGUUCUUAUUACUUUAAAUUAUCCAAUUCAGAAGAAAGGAAAGAGGGAGAGAGAGAAGAAGAAAAGGAGAGAGGGGAAAAGAAAAGAAAAGAAAGGAGGAAGGAAGAAUUACAUCUUUGUUUAAUGUGAAGUGCAUGCUGUUUUUGGUAAUAUAAUUCCCCUUCUAUGAAAAAAUUAACUUCUUCACUGUGAGUACCUAAUUCUGACUUUAUAGAUUUGAAAAGAAUAAUAGAAUUAUUAAUGCUGGAGAAAAAAAUUAAAGAUUAUUUGCUCUGGCCUUUGUAUUUUACUCGGAAUAUUUUAAUAACUUGUCUAAGACAGCUAGCACAGCUGACUAAUAUUCAAGCGAGAAUUAAACCUUCAAACCCUACACCUUUAGAUUCCUAGGCCAGGUUUCUUUCUGUUAUUUAAUCCAAUCAUCUUUAAAUCUUCACAGCUUUAAGCAACAUCGCUGAUCUCAUUUAUACUCAGGAUGAUCACAAUAUACUGAGGUUUUAUGAUUAAUCUUGUUGCCAUAUCUCAUUCUUAUGUUAAAAGGCAAAUUCCAAUUUACAAAUUUUUAAUUCACCACUUUCAUAGAAGUGAUAACUAACUUUGCUAUCAUCUUUGGGACUAUGUCAUUUGCUUAAGAAUCAUGUUUCUGUGUGUGAAAGGCACUGAAUUUAUUCUGAAGUUGCAUCUUUUAGUGCAUGGAUGCUAAUUAUCUGUGACAUACAAAUUAGUGAUUAGUGAUCAUUAGCAAUAACUUUAAAUAUGUAAUGCAUAAUGAUUCUGUUGCAGUCAUUUUUAUGGCUAUGUUGAGAAAACAUAAUUUAUCUGUAACAUUUUACUGACUUUAAAACACAUAUAUAAAGUAUAUUUUUUAAUAUAGAGGCAAAAUGAAUAAAAAAUUGUUUAACUUCUAGAAUUUAUUUUUCAGUUAGAAACAUUAUAUAAAUUAUUAUAUUCAUUCAUUUCAAGGCAAGAGACAUACCUCUUAUUAUAGAAGAAAUAUCAAGUAAGUUUAAGAAUAUUAUUUUCUUUUUUACUGUUUUGCUGUUUCUUAUCAUUUUUGGUCUACACUUACAAAUGUUUGGGCUCAUAAUCUGCUCUAAAUAUAUGCUAGAAGACAAAGCUGAAGGCUUGCCCCUAGGUAGAAUAUAAUCUUUCUGUAUAUGAUGCAUUAAAUAUAUUUAUACCUGUUAUUAUGUCCUAUGUGAAUGAUUAGCUAGUUAAUUGAUUAACGAUUAUAGCUAGUUACUUAAUAUAAUUUAUUAAGCAAGAAAACACAAAGGAGACAAAAAUGACCAUAGAUACCAUGUCUAUACCGUGUCUCUGACUUAAGUAAUCACACAUUUUAGAAGAGAAGACAGACUAUUAAACAGAUAAUUGCACUGUGAAUCUGAUAAUGCAAUGCAAUAUGAGCAACUGCUAUGGAAUUACAGAAGACAGGGUAGCUUUGUGUGCUCAAUUUAAUCAGAUAUACUUUAUCAAAAAUAUAUUUGUACUUCAUCUGGGUGGUUAGAUAAGGUUUGUGAGAUGGGUAGGUGUUAGAAAAUCAUAUAUCUGUAGAUAGAGAG
Pan troglodytes (chimpanzee) is the source of this 1988-nucleotide long non-coding RNA. RefSeq lists it as uncharacterized. The transcript has 3 exons. Lineage: Eukaryota; Metazoa; Chordata; Mammalia; Primates; Hominidae. The record is from RefSeq and is a predicted model, not a curated record.